Anolis carolinensis (green anole) is the source of this 264-nucleotide non-coding RNA. It matches the Rfam family "7SK RNA". From Rfam's summary of the family: 7SK was discovered as an abundant small nuclear RNA in the mid-70s but a possible function has only recently been suggested. Two independent studies have found that 7SK RNA binds the CDK9/cyclin T complex (known as elongation factor P-TEFb). P-TEFb activates transcription by phosphorylating the C-terminal domain of RNA polymerase II. The record is from Rfam. NCBI's taxonomy places the organism in Eukaryota, Metazoa, Chordata, Lepidosauria, Squamata, Anolidae.
GUGAGGGCGAUCUGGCUGCAACAUCUGUCACCCCAUUGAUCACCAGGGUUGAUUCAGCUGAUCUGGCUGCCUAGGCGGGGGUCCACUCAGUGGAAGAGGACGACAUCCCAGGUAUAGAAGGAGUGUACCGAGGUCUCCAGUCUUCGGUCCUAGAUAUACGAUAGCUGCUCUCCCGUACUAGAACCUCCAAAUAAGCUCAAGAUCCUGAGACUCAGGCUUACACCUUGAGACUCAGGUCCAAGGAAAGGUGGUCUUCUUUUCUGU